RNAcentral lists this non-coding RNA (21 nucleotides) under Caenorhabditis elegans. Lineage: Eukaryota; Metazoa; Nematoda; Chromadorea; Rhabditida; Rhabditidae. The record is from RNAcentral.
UUGAACUGACGGGCUUUUGUU